Nothobranchius furzeri (turquoise killifish) is the source of this 428-nucleotide non-coding RNA. Lineage: Eukaryota; Metazoa; Chordata; Actinopteri; Cyprinodontiformes; Nothobranchiidae. The record is from RefSeq and is a predicted model, not a curated record.
GAGACACAGCCAUUCAAUAGGUAGCAUUUCCCAAGAUGCCUUGCGGGCCGGCCGGCAGAAAAACUUAAAAACAAUGGCGGACAGUGAAGCGGGAGCUGUCGGAGAGGAUUGCGCAUAUACAUGAACAAAAGAGAAAACCAGGGAAUUUAUUAAGCUUAGGACGGAGAUGGACCACAUGAUCACCGGAGCAAAGUAUUCGGCGGCUGUGGCAUGGAGACUAUUCUGGAGAAAAUGGGCAUCCAGGGGAAGGUGCCAGCGAUGAGCUUCUGGAGCUGAUCUGGGAGGACAUGAGGCUGCAGAGCAGCAGAGAGCACAGGAGAGAAGGAAGAACUUUGACAGCUUUUUACUUUGCUAGAAAAAAAUGGUUAAUGAAGAUUAAACAUGUACAUGUAAAAGAAAUAUCUAAAUAAAAUCAGUUCUGCAUUAAA